UGAAUCAACCAUUUGUACAGAGCCUCCUAAAGACUACUGUAAACAGAGUAACAUCUUAACAUGCCGCUACACUCCAACAACAGCAAUUAACAAUACAGAAGAAUUCAGCUUCUUUGUGCAAACAACAUGUGGAAUGAAAACAACAAAAUUCACUGUGGACAUAACAGGGUCAUCAAUCAAACACAGCAGAUGAAUCUAAGAAUGAUGUCAUCACUGCAGUUGUGGUCUUAUCUGUCAUCCUCAUCAUCAUCUUAAUGGCAAUAAUUAGCAAAAAACAAUAUUUUGGGUUCCUGAAGAGGAUGUUUCUGUGCAUCAAACAUGAUGGCAACGGUAAUUGUCUUGAACAAUUGAAAUACUCCUCACCGGGGCCUGACCAGUGUUCGAUAAAUAUUAUUGAUUCAGCAAAACCAAACUAAUGAGUUUUAUUUGACUUUUCAUGUAGUGCUCAUUAAACACACAAGCUUUAUUUGAACUCCACUAAACUACAUACUCCACUAUCUCUUGUAUCUCAAACUACUGAAUAUAUAACUCUGGUGGUUGAUUUAAAACCCAGUUUCUGUUUUAUACAAGUUUCUGUGAAAUAACAGUAUAUUAUUGAUCUGUGUGAUCAGUGUGUAUAUUUGUACAUGUGACUGUAAAGAGGAAACACAGCGAAACUCAGACUGUGUUUGGGUUUUGCUCUUUUUUUUCUGACUUUAAAGGAAUGUCUGAAAUGAAUGCCAGUUUGGUACAGUGAGUGUUAAUAUAACUUAAGUUUGGAAAUAAUUUUUUGUUUAAUAUUCUACACUUGAAGUGUGGCUUUGUACAGUGGUUCAUUUAUAUAAAAAUAAAAAAUUUAUUACACUUUG
This is a long non-coding RNA of Carassius auratus (goldfish), 848 nucleotides long. RefSeq lists it as uncharacterized. NCBI's taxonomy places the organism in Eukaryota, Metazoa, Chordata, Actinopteri, Cypriniformes, Cyprinidae. The transcript has 2 exons. The record is from RefSeq and is a predicted model, not a curated record.